CCUACGGGGGGCAGCAGUGGGGAAUUUUGGACAAUGGGCGCAAGCCUGAUCCAGCAAUGCCGCGUGAGUGAAGAAGGCCUUCGGGUUGUAAAGCUCUUUUGUCAGGGAAGAAACGGGACUGGAUAAUACCUGGUCCUAAUGACGGUACCUGAAGAAUAAGCACCGGCUAACUACGUGCCAGCAGCCGCGGUAAUACGUAGGGUGCAAGCGUUAAUCGGAAUUACUGGGCGUAAAGCGUGCGCAGGCGGUUUUGUAAGUCUGACGUGAAAGCCCCG
Molecule: ribosomal RNA, 275 nt
Filed under: uncultured bacterium
Lineage: Bacteria
Description: partial 16S ribosomal RNA
Rfam family: Bacterial small subunit ribosomal RNA
Source: RNAcentral